CCCCCUUCGAAGAAGAGGGGGUAUAUUGCUUUGCUCAUGUCGGUCGGUCGGUUUGUCGGUCUGUCGGUCCACCAGGUGGUUGUUAGACGAUAACUCAAGAACGCUUGGGCCUAGGAUCAUGAAACUUCAUAGGUACAUUGAUCAUGACUCGCAGAUGACCCCUAUUGAUUUUGAGGUCACUAGGUCAAAGGUCAAGGUCACGGUGACCAGAAAUAGUAAAAUGGUUUUUGAAUAAUAACUCAAGAACGCAUACGCCUAGGAUCAUGAAACUUCAUGGGUAGAUUGAUCAUGACUCGCAGAUGACCCCUAUUGAUUUUGAGGUCACUAGGUCAAAGGUCAAGGUCACGGUGACCCGAAAUGGUAAAAUGGUUUUCGGAUGAUAACUCAAGAACGCAUACGCCUAGGAUCAUGAAACUUCAUAGGUAGAUUGAUCAUGACUUGCAGAUGACCCCUAUUGAUUUUGAGGUCACAAGGUCAAGGUCACGGUGACCCGAAAUAGUAAAAUGAUUUUCGGAUGAUAACUCAAGAACGGUUUUGCAUAGGAUCAUGACACUUCAUAGGUACAUUGAUCGUGACUAGCAGAUGACCCCUAUUGAUUUUCAGGUCGCUAGGUCAAAGGUCAAGGUCACAGUGACAAAAAUCGUAUUCACACAAUGGCUGCCACUACAACGGACAGCCCAUAUGGGGGGCAUGCAUGUUUUACAAACAGCCCU
Molecule: long non-coding RNA, 713 nt
Organism: Dreissena polymorpha
Lineage: Eukaryota; Metazoa; Mollusca; Bivalvia; Myida; Dreissenidae
Exons: 3
Source: RefSeq, a predicted model, not a curated record